CCUCGGGCAUACCUUUGUAAAAUAAGAAAAUUUAUCAAAGUUUCUUUAAUUUAUUUUGCCCCACUUUUAUUGACGCUAUGGAUGCCGCCAUGUUAACAGCUGUGCCUAAUGUAAGAUGUUAAAUCCAUUUUCAUUGGAUAACUGAAACGAAAUACUAAGGUUUGAUUGUCGGCAUACUUCUGUUUUAUCCGUUAUGUAUGCAGGUAGUCCAUAUUUCGGAUAUUUCUAGGUAAACAUAAAUUCUCACGCACCGUAUUUCCCUUUGGAAUCUUUGUUCAUACCCGUGUAGAUUUGUACCCGCUAUCGACUCUGAGAAAACAUAAUCGAUUAUCGGAAUCGGUUGGACUUUUCUAGCCGUCAAUCGGCCCAUCACUAACUUUAAUGUUAAUUGAUGAAGGGGUAGGUGGAGACAUAGACCAAAAAGAAACCCCCUCCUUCACAUUCCCUCAUUCGUCCCGUAUUUGCACCCCCUUUCCAGAAAAUCCUUGCUACGCCUAUGAACACUAUUACAGUGAUUAACUAAAAUUUAAAAGAGUGUAGAGACUAGAGUAGAUCUAUAUAUCAUGCAAAUACAAUUGAAAAUUGCCUGGAAAUGCAUUACUCCACAAAUUAUUUCCUACUGAAUAUGCCAUAAUCAAAGUGAUGGUGUAUGACUGGUGUCAUAAAUAAGUGUCCGGUAAUUCCCAGACAUGACCGAUAAUACCCACUGUGAACACCUCAGAUUGAUUGUAUACGUAACAAGUCAUAUGACGUAAUAGCGACCAAUCUAUUUUUGAGAAAUGGAAAGUACACAUGCAGCUGUAAAGUGAGAGAGGAUUUCUGUGUCUUGUUUAUGUACUGGACAGAAGAUACCCUACAUUUCUUCAAAAUAAUUGAUAAACAGAAAAAUGUUGGAAAUAUGACCCAAGCUAUGAAUUUAGUAGACUGUUGUCAAGGGAUACAGCAUUUAUGAUUGUGAAGCCACGGACAGCUUUUAGCCAAACCAAAAAUGUCGCAAAGGUUGGAGAAAUGGCUAUUUCUUUCCUGUCUGAGGAUCUGGCUAUUAUGCUGUUUGCUCAGAGGAGAUCAUUACAUGCCAGUGUUUUGUCAUUACAAAAUAAGGCUUGACAACUGUCGUGAGUAGUAAACCUGAUUGAUGAUGAAGAUACAAAAUUGUGACUGUGUCCAGUUAUAAAGCACAUCACAAAGAAAACUAUAACCAGUCCAUUGUUACACCAAAAACUCUGGCAGCUUGUUCUGUUGAAAGUCUUAUUCCCAUAAAUGAAUGAAAAUGCAAUUGAGGAGCAUUAUAAAAUUUUCACAAUAGACAAUGUAAAUGAAGAAAGAGCUGCAAGUUUUCAGAAAGGUGGUAAAAACGAAAGUUUUGACCCAAGAAGUUUGAAUAAGAAAUAGUAAAUAAAAGGGGAAAAACGGAACAGGUGGAGAUGGUUUGGAAACAGCAAGUGUUAAGGAAGAAUUUAUGUAAGAUAUAUUAGAUACAACACUAGAAAAGAGUAAUUUUGAAAAGGUAACAUAGAUUAGUGAAAAUGUCAAUAGAAUGAACUGAGAAGAAAUAUCAAAUUGCAAAUUAGAACAGCUUAUAGAUUCAGCUGAGAAAACAGGCUAGGGCAUUGGGUCUGGAGAAUUGCAUGUUGUUGAAAAUGUCGAAGUUGAACCAGAAGAUUCUUGCACUCAAAACAACAGACGAGAAUAUAUAGGAACUGGAAAUUAUAUCAAACAUGCAUGCAUUGGAAAGCUCAGAUUCUUUAGCGUUGUUAAAAAUGAAACAGGUAGUUCUGAUCAAAAGACAAAACAAUUUUUAAAACAUAACAGAUGAGGAUAUACAGGAACUGGAAAUUAUAUCAAACAUGCAUGCAUUGGAAAGCUCAGAUUCUUUAGCGUUGUUAAAAUGAAACAGGUACUUCUGAUUUUUAGUUUUAGAAAAACAGUUGUUAAAACACACUGUAAAAGCAGUACCUUGAAACACAGAUCAAGGUUGAAGAUAUAAAUGAUUAACAUAAUGGAACUUUUAAUGAUAUCCUAAUUCAGUCAUACAUGGAAUCCAUGAAGUAUUCUGACACACAGAAUCAGUCGGAUUUCAGACAUAUAGUCAGUCUGUAAUUAUGUUGAACAUUCUUUUACGUAAAGUAGCUGAGCAAGAACAGCUCUUUGUAGAUGUAGGAUGAUGGAUCAGGCAUUGAACAGACGAUGUGCAAGAACAAAAACUGUAUAAAUGGUAAAUAUGAGUAAGUGCAUUAUGUAUACAGGCUGCAAUGUUCCUGGUGAAAGGUGUUACAUGUAAGAAAAAGAGAAAGAAGAUGAAUAAAGUGUCUGUAAAUACCAAGAAACAGAAAUGUGUACAACAAAAAACAAAGUAUUCAAACAUUAGAUCAGGAUUCAAUCAUAAAGGCCAAGAUAAUAAAAAAGCAAUUGAAUCAGGGCCAAACUUUAUCUUUCUUUCUCGAAAGUAAAUAUAAAUGAAAAGUUAGUUGUAGAAAAAAUUUAAAGUUAUUAUUAAGAUAAACUCACAGAAUGUCUUAGCAGUGAAAGUUUGAAACAUGACUUGAUAGGUUUGUAGGAUUUGUCUGCAUUGAUGCAUUGAAUGUAAAUGUUUUAAGUGGAAAUGCUUUAAACUUGAAGAGGAGAGACUGCUCUACAUGUUGUUGAUGUGGGAUGAAUUCUUCAGGAUGGACAGUUUUGACAACUUUCAGCAGAAAAUAAAUUCAUUUUUAUAAGGAACUUGUAAGAAGUAAGUGAAAAGUAUAGCAGGACUGCUUUAGACACAGUGUUAAUAGUCUCCAAUGUGAGAAAAAGGUAAGUUUGUAGAUAUAUAGACAAAAUGUGUUUGUUUCAGUAUGGAUUGAAAUAUCUUUCACAGACUUGACAACUUCAAUCACCAUGGUAGUCACAAGUGAAAGAUAAGUUGAUCUUUGUUGUAAACAGAUAUAUAUGUUAGUUAUGCUGUGAAAUCAUUUCAUUUCGUGGGCAAAAAUUUCACACUUUUUGCUAAAGCAGAUAUUUCAUGACUUAUAAUUUGUCAGUUUCAACUUUUGAGCAUAAAAUUAACUGGAAAUUUAUAUUAAUGAUUUGUGAAAUCCACAAAAAUAGGUACCCAUCUAUUUUGAUGAUUGACAGCAUUCUAUGCCUUUUUACUUGUUUGAAAAAUGUGUUAAUCAGUUGUUAGUCAAGUGCUGAAAGUCAGUUUUUGCUGUUGCAACACUAACUGGAAGAUCUUGGAAUUAGAUUUAGAUUCAAACAUGCCAUGCACACCAGACAUGCAGCAACAUGACUACUGUACUUACCAGUAGUAUAAAUGUUACAGUGUUGUUAACUAUCUUUUUGCACAAGUUGUGUUGAUUAUAGUCUGGAGUUACUAAGGUGCAUAAAUUGUAUUGAGCCACACCGUGAGAAAACCAACAUGCAUUUGUGACAAGCAUGGAUCCAGGCCAGCCAGCGCAUCCGUGCAGUGUGGUCAGGAUCCAUGCUGUUGGCUUUCAAAGCGUAUUGCAGUUAGAGAAUUUAUAUGCGAACAGCAUGGAUCCUGAUCAGACUGUACUGAUGCGCAGGCUGGUUUGGAUCCAUGUUGGUCGCAAAUGCCCUAUGUUGGUUUUCUCAUGGCGCAGCUCAUUUCUAAAGUGAUAAUGCUGUAUUGAGGUUACAUGGAAUGUUAACUACUUGACUUGGUAAAAUGAAACAACAGUUUGUUUUUUUAACAAUAUUUUAUUUAUACAGCUGUGUGAACAUCUGAAUACAUUUGGAACAUUGUCUUAUAGACAUAGAUUUAAGUUCGUUCUACAUAAAUGUACUUUGAAAGUUGUAGAUUUUGUACUAUUUAGGAAAUCUAAUAUUUCAAACACUAUGCAAUAGAUAACAGUAGAAUGUUACUGUUGUAGAGAUUUUUGUCAGUGGAUGCAGUAUAUUUUAAUGUUAUAUUUUUAGAAUUAGAACUACUGUAAAACCAUUUCAUUUCGUGGGCAUGAAUUUUUGUGGUUUUGGUCAAAACGGCAAUUUCGUGGGGAUAUGAAUUCGUGGAUUUCAACUUUUGAACAUAAAAUGAAUGGGAAUUUUACUUGUUCAUUGGGAUUAAAUUUCGCGGAUUGACUCAACCACAAAAUCCAUGAAAAUUAGUCCCCCACGAAUAUUAAUGAUUUCACAGUAGGCAGAUUACGUAAAAUAAUGUAUCAUGUAUAUUUUCUUAUAUACAUGUAUCAUGUAUAUAUUUUUAGAUACAUGUAUUAUAUAUUCUUAGAUACAUGUAUAUAUUCUUAGAUACAUGUAUAAUAGAUUUGGUCAUACUUCAGAGAAGAGUUGAUGAUGUACAGCAGUAGGCACAACCAGGUUUUAUAAAGGAAUUUGCAUAGUAAAAUCAGCUGACUAACUACAGCUUUCAAGAUUAUUGAGAAGAUAAUGGUGUAAUUGCCAUUGUGACCACUGUUGAUUAUACUUAUUUACAGAAGAGAUGUUUAUAUAGAUACAUUCAUUUGAUCAGACCACUUCAAAUACUGGUUUAUUUCAAGUGUGCACACCGAACAGGUUGAUGUUUAAUUCUGUACAUUCAUUUGAUGUAACACAUCACGUACUGGUUUAUUUGUGGCUCUGCACUGGACAGGUUGAUGUUUAAAUCUGUACAUUCAUUUGAUGUAAUACAUCACAUACUGGUUUAUUUCUGGCUCCACACUGGAUAGGUUGAUGUUUGGAUCCAUUCAUUUAUUGGAUCAUAACACACAUCAUACUGAUUUACUUCCGGAGUCUGUACAGGUAGAUGAUUGAAAGUGUCACUAUCUUUCUACCAUUUCUGUGGCAGGCCACCAAGAGGCAGCCAAAGUUACUUACUUGUCUUGCAGAAUUUCAAAUGUCUUCAGAGUACUGCAUAGGAAGAUUUGAAACUUCCCUGAUUUCAUACAAAGUAUAGGAAUUUUUAGUUAAGCUGAACAUAGCUUAUAACCAAGGUGUAACUAAACUAGGGGUGGGUAUUGCCACAAAAAUUGGUAUUGCGAUAUAUUGCAAUAUUGUAUGCGGAUAUUGCAAUAUACUGCGAUAUAUUGUACCAGUUAUUUAAUGAACAAAAGCAUGACGAAUCAUACUGUCUUUUUCAAAUUUAUUCAAUUAAAAAUGAG
Mercenaria mercenaria is the source of this 5096-nucleotide long non-coding RNA. RefSeq lists it as uncharacterized. The record is from RefSeq and is a predicted model, not a curated record. The transcript has 3 exons. Lineage: Eukaryota; Metazoa; Mollusca; Bivalvia; Venerida; Veneridae.